Molecule: ribosomal RNA, 497 nt
Filed under: uncultured bacterium
Lineage: Bacteria
Description: partial 16S ribosomal RNA
Rfam family: Bacterial small subunit ribosomal RNA
Source: RNAcentral
GACGAACGCUGGCGGCGUGCCUAAUACAUGCAAGUUGAGCGCUGAAGGUUGGUACUUGUACCAACUGGAUGAGCAGCUAACGGGUGAGUAACGCGUGGGGAAUCUGCCUUUGAGCGGGGGACAACAUUAGGAAACGAAUGCUAAUACCGCAUAAAAACUUUAAACACAAGUUUUAAGUUUGAAAGAUGCAAUUGCAUCACUCAAAGAUGAUCCCGCGUUGUAUUAGCUAGUUGGUGAGGUAAAGGCUCACCAAGGCGAUGAUACAUAGCCGACCUGAGAGGGUGGUCGGCCACAUUGGGACUGCGACACGGCCCAAACUCCUACGGGAGGCAGCAGUAGGGAAUCUUCGGCAAUGGACGAAAGUCUGACCGAGCAACGCCGCGUGAGUGAAGAAGGUUUUCGGAUCGUAAAACUCUGUUGGUAGAGAAGAACGUUGGUGAGAGUGGAAAGCUCAUCAAGUGACGGUAACUACCCAGAAAGGGACGGCUAACUACGUG